RNAcentral lists this ribosomal RNA (492 nucleotides) under uncultured bacterium. Its description in RNAcentral is "bacterial SSU rRNA". It matches the Rfam family "Bacterial small subunit ribosomal RNA", at positions 21 to 507 of the family's 1533-position model. The record is from RNAcentral.
GGCUCAGGAUGAACGCUAGCGGCAGGCUUAAUACAUGCAAGUCGUGGGGCAGCAUGAGUAGCAAUACUUGAUGGCGACCGGCAAACGGGUGAGGAACACGUACACAACCUUCCUUCAAGCGGGGAAUAGCCCAGAGAAAUUUGGAUUAAUACCCCAUAAUAUAUUUGAUAAGGCAUCUUAUUAAUAUUAAAAGCUUCGGCACUUGAUGAUGGGUGUGCGGCUGAUUAGAUAGUUGGCGGGGUAACGGCCCACCAAGUCUACGAUCAGUAGCUGAUGUGAGAGCAUGAUCAGCCACACGGGCACUGAGACACGGGCCCGACUCCUACGGGAGGCAGCAGUAAGGAAUAUUGGACAAUGGACGAAAGUCUGAUCCAGCCAUGCCGCGUGAAGGAUUAAGGUCCUCUGGAUUGUAAACUUCUUUUAUAUGGGACGAAAAAGGGCAUUCUUGUUCACUUGACGGUACCAUAUGAAUAAGCACCGGCUAACUCCGUG